Molecule: ribosomal RNA, 871 nt
Filed under: uncultured bacterium
Lineage: Bacteria
Description: bacterial SSU rRNA
Rfam family: Bacterial small subunit ribosomal RNA
Source: RNAcentral
UGACGAGUGGCGGACGGGUGAGUAAUGCUUGGGAACAUGCCUUUGCGAGGGGGAUAACAGUUGGAAACGACUGCUAAUACCGCAUAACGUCUUAGGACCAAAGGGGGCUUAGGCUCUCGCGUGAAGAGUGGCCCAAGUGAGAUUAGCUAGUUGGUGAGGUAAAGGCUCACCAAGGCGACGAUCUCUAGCUGUUCUGAGAGGAAGAUCAGCCACACUGGGACUGAGACACGGCCCAGACUCCUACGGGAGGCAGCGGUGGGGAAUAUUGCACAAUGGGGGGAACCCUGAUGCAGCCAUGCCGCGUGUGUGAAGAAGGCCUUCGGGUUGUAAAGCACUUUCAGUUGUGAGGAAGGGGUGGUUGUUAAUACCAGCCAUCAUUGACGUUAGCAACAGAAGAAGCACCGGCUAACUCCGUGCCAGCAGCCGCGGUAAUACGGAGGGUGCGAGCGUUAAUCGGAAUUACUGGGCGUAAAGCGCACGCAGGCGGUUGUAUAAGCUAGAUGUGAAAGCCCCGGGCUCAACCUGGGAUGGUCAUUUAGAACUGUACGACUAGAGUCUUGGAGAGGGGAGUGGAAUUCCACGUGUAGCGGUGAAAUGCGUAGAUAUGUGGAGGAACAUCAGUGGCGAAGGCGACUCCCUGGCCAAAGACUGACGCUCAUGUGCGAAAGUGUGGGUAGCGAACAGGAUUAGAUACCCUGGUAGUCCACACCGUAAACGCUGUCUACUAGCUGUGUGUAAAUUUAAUUUGUGCGUAGCGAAGCUAACGCGCUAAGUAGACCGCCUGGGGAGUACGGCCGCAAGGUUAAAACUCAAAUGAAUUGACGGGGCCCGCACAAGCGGUGGAGCAUGUGGUUUAAUUCGAUGCACGCGA